RNAcentral lists this unclassified non-coding RNA (223 nucleotides) under Daucus montanus. Its description in RNAcentral is "internal trasncribed spacer 2". The record is from RNAcentral. Lineage: Eukaryota; Viridiplantae; Streptophyta; Magnoliopsida; Apiales; Apiaceae.
AUCGUGUUGCCCCUGACCAAGCAUCUCUUUCGGAGAUCUUUUUGUUCAGGGGCGGAGAUUGGCCUCCCGUGCCUUCCGCGUGCGGCUGGCUCAAAAAUGAGUCUCUGGUGAUGGACAACACGACAUCGGUGGUUGUAAGAAGACCUUCUUGCGUUGUUGUGUGAGUCCACCACCGUAGGAAACUCGAGGGCCCUUAGGCACUACAAAAAUGUGUGCACUUCGG